This 253-nucleotide ribosomal RNA is filed under the name uncultured bacterium. RNAcentral describes it as "partial 16S ribosomal RNA". It matches the Rfam family "Bacterial small subunit ribosomal RNA", at positions 524 to 776 of the family's 1533-position model. The record is from RNAcentral.
UACAGAGGGCGCGAGCGUUGUUCGGAUUCACUGGGCGUAAAGGGUGCGUAGGCGGUCGGGUAAGUCUGACGUGAAAUCUUCAAGCUCAACUUGGAAACUGCGUCCGAUACUAUUCGGCUAGAGGAAUGGAGGGGAGACUGGAAUACUUGGUGUAGCAGUGAAAUGCGUAGAUAUCAAGUGGAACACCAGUGGCGAAGGCGAGUCUCUGGACAUUUCCUGACGCUGAGGCACGAAAGCCAGGGGAGCAAACGGG